UACGUAGGGUCCGAGCGUUGUCCGGAAUUAUUGGGCGUAAAGGGCUCGUAGGCGGUUUGUCGCGUCGGGAGUGAAAACUCAGGGCUCAACCCUGGACCUGCAUUCGAUACGGGCGGACUAGAGUUCGGUAGGGGAGACUGGAAUUCCUGGUGUAGCGGUGAAAUGCGCAGAUAUCAGGAGGAACACCGGUGGCGAAGGCGGAUCUCUGGGCCAUUACUGACGCUGAGGAGCGAAAGCGUGGGGAGCGAACAGG
This 253-nucleotide ribosomal RNA is filed under the name uncultured bacterium. RNAcentral describes it as "partial 16S ribosomal RNA". It matches the Rfam family "Bacterial small subunit ribosomal RNA", at positions 524 to 776 of the family's 1533-position model. The record is from RNAcentral.